Molecule: ribosomal RNA, 816 nt
Filed under: uncultured Herbaspirillum sp.
Lineage: Bacteria; Pseudomonadati; Pseudomonadota; Betaproteobacteria; Burkholderiales; Oxalobacteraceae
Description: partial 16S ribosomal RNA
Rfam family: Bacterial small subunit ribosomal RNA
Source: RNAcentral
GGCGACGGGUGAGUAAUGUCUCGGAAUCUGCCCAUUAGUGGGGGAUAACUAYUCGAAAGGGUCGCUAAUACCGCAUACGNCCUACGGGAGAAAGCAGGGGAUCUUCAGACCUUGCNCUUUGGAUCAGCCGAUGUCGGAUUAGCUWGUUGGUGGGGUAAUGGCUCACCAAGGCGACGAUCCGUAGCUGGUUUGAGAGGAUGAYCAGYCACACUGGAACUGAGACACGGCCCAGACUCCUACGGGAGGCAGCAGUGGGGAAUUUUGGACAAUGGGSGAAACCCUGAUCCAGCCAUGCCGCGUGUGUGANGAAGGNCUUCGGAUUGUAAAGCACUUUUGGUUGGAANGAANGGUUGUGGGUUAAUACCCCGCNANUUUGACGGUACCUGCAGAAUAAGCACCGGCUAACUACGUGCCAGCAGCCGCGGUAAUACAUAGGGUGCAAGCGUUAAUCGGAAUUACUGGGCGUAAAGCGUGCGUAGGUGGUUUGUAAAGUUGGAUGUGAAAUCCCCCGGCUUAACUUUGGAACUGGCUUUUUAACUAGCGGGCUUAAAUGUGUGUAAAGGAUGUGGAAUUCCGCUGUGUAGCAGUGAAAUGCNUNNAUAUGCGGAGGAACACCGAUGGCNNAAGGAGACUCCUGGGACAGCUCUGACGCUCAUGCUGCGAAAGCNUGGGGANCNAACNNGGAUUAAUANCCCUGGUAGUCCACGCCCUAAACNAUGUCCACUUACUGUUGGGGCCCUUCUGACCUUGGUAGCGCACCUCACNCGUGAAGUUGACCGCCUGNGGGAGUACNGUCGCNAGAUGNNAACUCUCAAG